This 440-nucleotide ribosomal RNA is filed under the name uncultured bacterium. RNAcentral describes it as "partial 16S ribosomal RNA". It matches the Rfam family "Bacterial small subunit ribosomal RNA", at positions 338 to 795 of the family's 1533-position model. The record is from RNAcentral.
CCUACGGGUGGCAGCAGUGGGGAAUAUUGCACAAUGGGGGAAACCCUGAUGCAGCGACGCCGCGUGAGUGAAGAAGUAAUUCGUUAUGUAAAGCUCUAUCAGCAGGGAAGAAAAUGACGGUACCUGAGCAAGAAGCCCCGGCUAACUACGAUCCAGAAGCCGCGGGAAUACGUAGGGUGCAAGCGUUAUCCGGAUUUACUGGGUGUAAAGGGAGCGUAGACGGCAGUGCAAGUCUGGAGUGAAAGGCGGGGGCUCAACCCCAGGAUUGCGUGUGAAACUGUACGGUUGGAGUGCAGGAGAGGUAAGUGGAAUUCGUGGUGUAGCGGUGAAAUGCGUAGAUAUUAGGAGGAACACCAGUGGCGAAGGCGGCUUGCUGGACUGUAACUGACGUUGAGGCUCGAAAGCGUGGGGAGCAAACAGGAUUAGAUACCCCAGUAGUC